RNAcentral lists this unclassified non-coding RNA (283 nucleotides) under fungal sp. RNAcentral describes it as "partial internal transcribed spacer region". The stretch from base 1 to 46 matches the Rfam family "Eukaryotic small subunit ribosomal RNA", at positions 1786 to 1831 of the family's 1831-position model. The record is from RNAcentral. Lineage: Eukaryota; Fungi.
AAGUCGUAACAAGGUUUCCGUAGGUGAACCUGCGGAAGGAUCAUUAACACUUACUGUCUCUUUAAAAAACAGACAUGUAUUUCAACAAAUUCGCGCUCCCUUUUUUUUCCAAACCUUUAACCAAUUUAAAUUUUAUUUUUUAACAGUUUUUCAUUUUAGCGUCUUUAAACAACACUAAAACGGAAAUGUAAGUAAUAACAAUGUUUCUUUGUAUUUUUUUUUCAAAAAAGUAUAAAAAACAGGUUAAAACAAACAACUGUUAACAAUGGAUAUCUAGGCUCUC